RNAcentral lists this small RNA (77 nucleotides) under Xanthomonas sp. 3793. Its description in RNAcentral is "sRNA sX9". It matches the Rfam family "Xanthomonas sRNA sX9". Lineage: Bacteria; Pseudomonadati; Pseudomonadota; Gammaproteobacteria; Lysobacterales; Lysobacteraceae. RNAcentral also lists the same sequence under 1 other name. The record is from RNAcentral.
AUGCCCCCCCGCACACUCCGGUUCCGAGCGCACUGUCCGCCCCCCACCUGACGACUGCGCGCCAGGCUUUGCUGGCC